GCAGUGAUGACAUCCCAAUCAAAGAACACAUUAAAUUGCAGACACUAGUGAUGGGGC
Molecule: small nucleolar RNA, 57 nt
Filed under: Suricata suricatta (meerkat)
Lineage: Eukaryota; Metazoa; Chordata; Mammalia; Carnivora; Herpestidae
Description: Small nucleolar RNA SNORD104 (ENSSSUG00005006010.1)
Rfam family: Small nucleolar RNA SNORD104
About the family: The members of this family belong to the C/D class of snoRNAs which contain the C (UGAUGA) and D (CUGA) box motifs.
Source: Rfam by way of RNAcentral